GAUGGACGCUGGCGGCGUGCCUAAUACAUGCCAGUCGAGCGAACAGACGAGGAGCUUGCUCCUUUGACGUUAGCGGCGGACGGGUGAGUAACACGUGGGUAACCUACCUAUAAGACUGGGAUAACUUCGGGAAACCGGAGCUAAUACCGGAUAAUAUUUCGAACCGCAUGGUUCGAUAGUGAAAGAUGGCUUUGCUAUCACUUAUAGAUGGACCUGCGCCGUAUUAGCUAGUUGGUAAGGUAACGGCUUACCAAGGCAACGAUACGUAGCCGACCUGAGAGGGUGAUCGGCCACACUGGAACUGAGACACGGUCCAGACUCCUACGGGAGGCAGCAGUAGGGAAUCUUCCGCAAUGGGCGAAAGCCUGACGGAGCAACGCCGCGUGAGUGAUGAAGGUCUUCGGAUCGUAAAACUCUGUUAUUAGGGAAGAAUAAACGUGUAAGUAACUGUGCACGUCUUGACGGUACCUAAUCAGAAAGCCACGGCUAACUACGUG
This 497-nucleotide ribosomal RNA is filed under the name uncultured bacterium. RNAcentral describes it as "partial 16S ribosomal RNA". It matches the Rfam family "Bacterial small subunit ribosomal RNA", at positions 28 to 507 of the family's 1533-position model. The record is from RNAcentral.